Liolophura sinensis is the source of this 100-nucleotide small nucleolar RNA. Lineage: Eukaryota; Metazoa; Mollusca; Polyplacophora; Chitonida; Chitonidae. The record is from RefSeq and is a predicted model, not a curated record.
AUCUAAUGAUGACUGAACCAUGCUAAUACUGAGAAAUCAGAACAGUUCAUAGAACUUCUGCUGGGUUUCAAUGAGUUCAAAUUUUAAGUCACUGAAGGUA